GCUGCCCCCCCUCUCCUGUCUCGAGUGCCGCAAGAAAAGAAGUGACCAAGCGUUUACGCUGUCUUGAAUGCCAGUUCGCUGUGUUGCCAGAUUCUCGAACCUGCGGUGUAUCGACACCUCGGGCAGCCAGUCGGCGCGGCGCUUUCCAGACACACCCAUUCGCACCGCGACGCCUUCCUGGAAAAGCGAGGCGUCUGGAAGGAGGAGUUUCCGGUUCGGAGCUUCUGCGACGGCAAACGAGGCAAGGAAACAGAACUGAGACCAACGGAGCGAAGCGCGGGAACGCAGGACAGACUGAACAGCCGAAAAUGCCGACCAGACGACGCCAAUCUCGCUCAAGAAACGACCAAUUCACAGAUGGUCACUCGCGGGGAGAAACGCUACAACACUGCGGAAACUGGAACAACUUGCACAGGAGCAAAAGCGCCCUGGCAACUCUUGCCAAUAGUGCCAGGCUGCCAUCUGGAAUGUCCACGUCGCUAUUUGUGGCUUCUCAUCAAAUAUCGCUGUUCUGUUCAGCAGUCAAAACACUCCGUUGACGGCAAAUGCUCGCUGCAAUGAUGUGCCCAUUGGCGACAGCUCAAAGUUCUUGAGUUGGGGGUGCUUCUGUGCUCUACUGAGAAGGGUGUAACAAGAGAUCCCGGUCUACCCCGUGCAGUGGAGAAUACUGGGGUGUGUAGGAUUGUCAGAGACGAACAACAGCAGAUACAAAGAUCAGAGGCACGCUGCGUCGUCCCCAAGUUUAGUGUGAAGACCUAGUUCGAUGUUGAGCGCGGAAACGGGCAUUCCCAUUGGUCAACAGCGGGUACCGCUGAUAUCCAACGCUUGCUACAUUGUGUGCGGCUUAUCAAUCGAACAGACGUGUCAGGUCUCGGAUGUGUAUAUUGGCAGAGUCUUUACUCAUCAGGUUAAGCGAAGAAUCUUUUGUUUACAGCUGGUACCGUUACCUUUCGUAGAAACCCGAUAUAUUCGAUUACUCGGAGUGUUGACGGUGGUAUAAAAGCAAAGAGACGCUGUACGGUACGUGGGAUGUGUAGGGAGCCAUGGCGCAGAACAAAUGGUCGGAU
RNAcentral lists this long non-coding RNA (1067 nucleotides) under Toxoplasma gondii VEG. The record is from RNAcentral. Lineage: Eukaryota; Apicomplexa; Conoidasida; Eucoccidiorida; Sarcocystidae.